UCUGGUUAGCUCUCCUCCUCCUGGUCGUUGGGGUCAUACGCUCUCUUGUGUCAACGGCUCUCGUUUAGUAGUCUUUGGAGGAUACGGGAGCCAUGGAUUACUCAACGAUGUCUUCUUACUAGACCUUGAUGCAGACCCUCCUACAUGGAGAGAAGUAUCCGGUUUAGCUCCCCCAAUACCAAGAUCAUGGCAUAGCUCGUGUACGCUUGAUGGAACCAAGCUGAUUGUAUCUGGUGGUUGUGCUGAUUCAGGAGCUUUGCUUAACGAUACGUUCUUGCUUGAUUUGUCAAUGGAUAUACCGACGUGGAGGGAGAUAAGAGUUCCAUGGUCUCCACCAUCUCGCCUUGGACAUACUUUAACCGUGUACGGUGACAGGAAGAUCCUUAUGUUUGGUGGUCUUGCGGAGUAUGGUUCGAGGAGGUUCCGGUCUAAUGAUGCGUACACGAUGAAUCUUAGUGAGAAUGAGCCGUGCUGGAGACCUUUGGUUGGGUAUGGAACUAGCCUUCCUGGAGGCGUGGCAGCUCCGAGGUUGGAUCAUGUGGCGAUUAGUCUCCCGGGUGGGCAGAUCUUGAUCUUUGGUGGUUCGGUUGCGGGGAUUGACUCGGCUUCUCAGCUUUAUCUUCUUGAUCCAACGGAGGAGAAACCGGCGUGGAGAGUGUUGAAUGUUAAGGGAAGCUCACCGCAGUUUGCGUGGGGACACACGACAUGUGUGGUCGGAGGAACUAGGUUGGUUGUGUUUGGUGGGCAGACAGGUGAAGAGUGGAUGCUAAAUGAAGCUCAUGAGCUGUUGUUAGCCAACUCUAGUACUAAAAUCACAUCAUCAAGACAUGGAGAGAAGAGGCUCUUCUAGAAAUGGAAACUCUAGAUGGUUCUUAGUUGCUCUGUACAUGGUGAGUUUGUUGAGUUUGAGACGUCCAUGUUUUGUUAGUAUUUUGAUUUUAAGGGUAUUUGUAUAUUCUACAUUACGAAUUUUAUUUGUAUAUUCCUUCUUGUGUAGUACAAUUUUGUAGGUGACCGGAUGAUCCAAAAACCAAACUUAAUGUUUAAUCUGUUUUAUUUAUCUACUGUUUGCUUUAAAUCUGUUCAAAUUAUAUGAAAAUUUUACACUGGUAAUGUUAAAAUUUAAAUUUAGUACUUCGCCAAAAACUUCUACCUUUAUUAAAUAAGAAUAUAAAUGGUGAAAUUUCUGUGUUUGUCUAGAAAGUUGGAUUCUAUGAUGCAAAUGAUGUUAAAAUUACAGAGGUGUUAGACUAUGGACCUCUUUUAGGUUUUUGUUCCUGAGGAAAUCUUGUAAUCCACCAGCUCGUAUUAUGACUCUGUAUUCCACCUUUGAUCAAUAAUAUUUCAAAUGAACAAAAAACAAGUGAAGUUUCAGUUUUGGUCUGGAGAUUUGGUUUCUAUGAUAUGCAAAUGGUGUAAUACUAUAGGCUAUGGACCUGGUGACGGUGAAAAUAGAGGUACAUGGUGACAUAGGGUGGCAUAGGUCUUUUUUGCUGAUGGUGUUGCAGUUAUUCUUUCAACACUAGUUCAAUUUCUAUUUUAUUUUAUUUUUUGCGGCUUUAGUUUGUGGGAUGGGAUGCUUGGUUUUGUCACUCAUGUUGUGAUCAUUUCUCUUUGUAGGUACUAGGUUGUGAUAUAUGAUCAUGGUUAGAGUUGGUUAUGAUGUUUUAUGUCCCAUGAUUUCCUUUUGCAUUAGGUUAUCAUUAAGCGCAUCAAGACAAUGUUAUGAGGCUUGAAGUUGUUGUUGACAUGUCAACAGUGGUUAAUCAAUGCGCGGAUAUCAAAACCAGACAAAAGGUCUUAAAGUAUGGUUGUGCAUUUAACAUUAAGAGAGUGAUUGAUCGUUAUAUCAACAACCAUGUCAGACAAAACAAGAAAUAACAUUACAUGUGUUGUUGGUUUUGUGGGAAAUUUGAACAUAAGAAAAUGGAUUAUAUCAAAAGUCUUGAAAGUGAUGAAGGGAUCAUUCAUACAGUAUAGAUUAUAGCAAUGAUACAUCUUGCUCUCGUUGAGGAAGACAUCAAUCUCCAUAUGCAUUAGCUACUUUGGUCAGAAACUCAACACAAGUUUUGACCAAGGAAUUUGAUAACAAUAUAUAUUGCGUUAAUAUGAUACGGUUCUCAAAAGUAAACCAUUCCGUUUCUGCUGGAGUUACUAAAGGUUCUUUCUGCAACCAGGUCUAGACGUUAUCCAUGUGUUUAUGAUAUGGAUAUAUAGUUAUAUACUAACCAUGUCAUUUUUUUUGUUACCAAUUGCAUGUUGAGCUAAUUUUAAUAUAUUAAAGGGAACUAGAAUUAAAAAAAAAAUUAAACGGAAUUCUUUUAUUAUAUCAGUUUUCAAGUUUUUGGUUUUGGCUCAUCAGGUCACCUACAAAAUUUUACUACAAAAGGAAUAUACAAAUCAAAUUCUUAAAUUUUGCAUAUACAAAUACCAUUAAAUCAAAAUAUUAACAAACACAUGGGACGUCUCAAACUCACAAGCUCACCAUGUACAGAGCAACUAAGAAACAUUUGAGUUUUCAUUCUGAAUAAAAACACCUAGAAGACCCUCUUCUCUUCAUGUCUUGAUGAUGCUGUAGUAGCAGAGGUAGCUAACAACAAUUCAUGAGCUUCAUUUAGCAUCCACUCUUCUCCUGUUUGACCACCUAAGAUGACCAACCUAGUCCCUCCCACCACACAAGUGGUGUGCCCCCACGCAAUCUGCGGUGGACUUCCCUUAACACUCAGUAUCCUCCACGCCGGAUUCUCCUCCGUAGGAUCAAGAAUAUAAAGCUGAGAAGCAGAGUCAAGCCCUGCAACCGAACCGCCAAAUAUCAAGACUCUACCACCAGGAAGGCUAACCGCCACAUGGUCUAGCCUUGGCGGUGGAGCUGCCAUGCCUCCUGGAAGGCUAGAUCCAUACCCAAUCACCGGUCUCCAGCACGGUUCAUCCUCGCUAAGAUCCAUCGUGUAGACAUCGUUAGACCGGAAUCUCAAAGUUCCGGAUUUUGCAAGACCACCGAACAUAAGGAUCUUGCGGUCACCGUACACGGUUAAGGUAUGUCCAAGGCGAGAUGGAGGAGACCAUGGAACAGGUAUCUCCCUCCAAGUUGGUGUAUCCAUUGACAAAUCAAGCAAGAACGUAUCGUUAAGCAGAGCUCCUGAAUCAGCACAACCACCAGAUACUAUCAGCUUGGUUCCAUCGAGUGUGCACGAGCUAUGCCAUGAUCUUGGUAUGGGAGGGGCUAAACCGGAUACUUCUCUCCACGUCGGAGGGUCUGCAUCAAGGUCUAACAUGAAGACAUCAUUGAGUAAUCCAUGGCUCCCAUAACCUCCAAAGACUACUAAACGAGAGCCGUUGACACAAGAGAGCGUAUGACCCCAGCGACCAGGAGGAGGAGAGCUAACCAGAACAGACUUCCACUCAGGACUAGUGGAGCCAAGGUCCAACACAAACGUAUCAUUCAUCGGUUGCAUAUUCACACCUUCCCCGCCAAAGAUAACAAUCCUAUUCCCAACCGCACAGGCGCUGAAGUUACACCGAGAAGGCUCAACAGUACCACCAAACGAAAACUUCCUCCACGCAGUUACUUCAUGCGUUGUAAACUCUCGGGCCAGUCGCCCCCAACCGAUCCUCUUUGCACCGGGAACACUCUCGAGAACACGUGUGGCUUCGGUCCCCCACGUGUUUUGACAAACCAUUCUCCACACGUCAUCGUUCUUCGUCAACUCAUUUAGCCGCCGACACACGCAACCGACCGAUGCAAUGUCAGGGGGAGUCAGCUUUGACAAUAUCUUGAGAGCUAUUACCUCAUCGCUCAGAUCGAAUAUACCACCUAGUCCGCGAGAGACGUUGCGAUCUCCGGUUGGUGAAGCAGAGGCAAAUGAGCGAGAUCUUCUUGGGAUUGGUUUUGUAGACAAGUCUGGAAAGGGGCCGAGAUCGAUUUCUGCAUCUGUGAAGGAGAGAACGCCUAUGAAAUGAGUGAUCUCGUCUUCUUCACGGAUGGGGACUAGACGCAGCUUGUUCAUCAAAGGAGACCCGUCUUUCCUGAAGUUGAGUAACUCUCCCUGAAACUCGAUGCCUUUUUCUAGACACUGUCGCAUCUUGGAGACAACUGUGGAAUCUACUGAGGGAUGUCGUCUUUUAGCAUAUGGCCCUCUACACUGCAAGAACCGGCUGCCAUAAGAAGAAGAAACAUAUCAGAAGGGAACUAACAACGUAACAGAUAAGAGUAUUUGAGCGAAUGAUCCCUCACAAGUAAUAGAAGAAAGAUCAAAUAAAUAACAGUUCACUAAUGCCAAAGAAAGAAAACAUAUCACAAAGACGUAGCUCUCCCAGUCUUCCGCAACAACACGAAGACAUGAGACACAUACUAUGUAGUUGGCGUUAAUCAGGCAAUACUGAAAACACUAUAAGUAACAUGUAUCCUCCUCACUUGAUAGCUUUGUUCCUCUAUAACCAACUAUCAAUUGUAUGAUUUCGACUUGUUCCCGAUAUGUUUUCUAGUUAAGACUACAAAAAGAACGUAUUCAAGCUCCUCAACAAGCUCUCUAGUAACAUCGUAUUCAUACCACAAGAUUCUCUACUUCAGGGUAAAGAAGAAGGCAAGCCCUCUAGUAACAUCUCAACAACGUCUCUAGUAAAAAAAGUAUUCAAGCUCCUCAACAAGCUAUCUAGUGACAUCACAUCCAUACCACAAGAUUCGCUACUUCAAAAUUAAAGGGUAAAGAAACUCUCUAGUAACAUCGAAUCCAAGCUCCUCAAGAAGAAUUUAUAAAUUUCCCCCCGACAAAACAGAGCUCUCUCUAGUAACAUCGUAUCCAACCUAACUUACCAGCUAGUACUUGAUUGAAUGAUCCUUCGCGAGCAAUAGAGCAAAGAUCAAAUUAUACGCAUAUAACCUAAGUUAAAUGAUGCAAAAAAGAAAGAAAACAUAUCACAAAGACAAAGCCUCCUCAUCUCUCAUACACACAAAAUGAUACUGAAAACAUUAGAAGUAACAUGUAUCCUCCUCCUCACUUUAUAGCUUUGUUCCUCUAUGACCAACUUCGGAUUCCAAAAGAAGGUAUUCAAGAUCCCCAAUAAGAACCAUAUUAAUGGAAGCUCUCUCUCUCUAGUAACAUCAUUCAUGACAGACACACAAAGUAUGUAGUGGCAAUUCAGACAAAAACAAAGCUUGUCUAGUAAACAGUACAAAGACAAAGUUCAAAGUCUUCUCUAAAGCAUCACAAACUAUAUAGUUGGCGUCCCUAAACAGUAAUUCAGACAAGACAAAAGCAGCAAAAAUUGAAGGAAAGUAAGCUCACCAGUUUCUACCAAUAACUUCCUCAGCUCGAUACCCAGUAACAAUCUCGAAGACGGCGUUGACGUAAAUGAUUGGUUGGUCUGGCUCUAGAGCGUCGCUGACCACAAACCCACACGGCGUCGUUCCAGGAAGACUAAUCUCCGGAAACGGAACCGGCCCGCUACCUCCGCCGAACCAUCCAUCAUCAGCCACCUCAUCUCCGCCGCUAAGAUCGGAAUCGCUGUCCCACUCCAUUUUGAUUUUGCAACCAAAUAAAAGGGGGGAAAGGCUCGAAAUUGAGACAAACCCAGAAAUCGCAAUUGAAAACCCAGCAGAAGAAGAUGAAAAAGAUUUGAUUUUUGAUUAAGAGCCAAGCAAAGCAAUCGAGAGAGGAAGAUGAUAUUUGAAGAUGAAAGAAGAAGAAAGAGGGGAUUGAUUCGGGUCGGGACUAUAUGGGAUCUCAGUGCCUCUCCUUUAUUUAUCUUAACCGGUUUCUCAGUUUCUUUUACCUUCCCGGUUUACAGAUAUUAUCUACGUUUCCCCGUUUUAAUUUCAUUACCUCCCUCCUUGCAUUCCAGUGGUUUAGGGAUUUGGAUUUUUCGUCUGGUUUGUUUUGGUUUGGUUUUUUAAUACAUAGUCACAUACAUCUCAAGUGAGUCUCUUCUUUUUUUCUUCGUCAACAAAUUUUAUUGAAAGCAAAGAUCAGUUCCAUACAACACCAACAUAUACAAGAUCUUUCCAUUUUCCAUGGUCAGCUAAACCGGAAAAAAACAAAGAUAUCUUAUAAGUUGGCAGUGCCUCUAACUUUUGUGCAGAAGAGGAUGAGGUCGAAGAGAGAGCAGAGACGUGGCUAGAAAGUAAUGAAGAGGAAGAGGAGAGACUCCCUCUGAGAUAGAGGUUUAGAGUCAUAUGAAUAAAAGAAGACGCUGUCGUUUUAUAUUUACGUUUACUACUUAUGUUGAGAGCUUGUAAACAUUUGAUCUUAUCAUAAUUGAUCACAACAAAUAUCUUAUCCUCUUAUCUCUUUCUUCUAUACUUCUCCCCUUUCUUGUUACAAUCAGAUAACCCCUAACCUAGGGUUUAUCAUUGGCAUCAGAGCCUGAUCAUGCCUCCUAAGCAAGAUCAGCAAGCUGAGAAGGUCUCAGCGAUGGAGGGUCAGAUCGCGAGUCUCGUGGGUGUGAUUGAUGGGUUACGAGGCGUGGCGGAGAGACAUGACCGCCAGUUCGUAGCGAUGGAGAAAAACGCAGACGAACAUCACCAGCAAGUCAUGGAGAUGUUCAAGCAGCUACCGGCGAGGGUAGCCAGCCCGGAGAAGGUUGAAUCGAAGGAGAGUUACCGUGAGACCGAGGGAUCUGUUCCUAAGGCUCAAAGGUUACAGAUCCGGCCAGAGAAGGGCCUUUUGCAGGUACCGGAGGAGGCGAUACCCCUUAGAUCGAUGGAUUUCAACACCCCGUCGUAUCAAGCGGGAUCAUCAGGGUUUUCAGCUCAUCAGAAGCUGGAUUCUCCUCCGAAGAAGCUAGAGCUACCGAACUUUGAAGGGAAGAACCCAGAUGAUUGGAUCUUCCGAAUGGAGAAAUGCUUCUCUGUUAAUAAAACCGAUGAAGGAGAAAAGUUGUCGCUAACUAUGUCAAGCAUGACGGGUUGUGCAGUCACUUGGCUGAGGACGAUACAGAACCGAGAAGAGCCGUUGGACUGGAGGGAUUUUAAGGCCAAGCUGAGGCGACGAUUUAAACCAUCGGGAGGAGGUACUAUACUCAGUCAGAUGCUGCGGUUGAGACAAACAGGAACCGUAUCAGAAUACCGUGAGAUGUUUGAGGAGUUAUCAGCUGAAGUGCCUCAUGUGCCAAACGACGUGUUAGAAGAAAUAUUCUUGCGCGGAAUGAAGCGUACAUUGCGAGAGCAAGUGGUGAGAUUGAGACCUGUAGGCAUGGAUGAGAUCGUAGACAUGGAAAAGAUCAUAGAGGAACAAGAGAACGAGCGCAGUGCCUACCAGUCUAGAUCCUUUCAAAGGACUAGCUCUGCACCGGCACUUAACUCGAAUCACCGAAGCUAUUCAUCCAAUUAUAGUUCGGUAAGACAAGGAGAGAAUACACCUGCGAGAAAGUCUAGUGAGUCACCACGAGACAACAAGGGCAGUGAGCAGAGGAGAACAAUCCAAAACUCUUGUCGUCAUUGUGGAGAGAGGUUCUUUGCGGGUCACAGAUGCAAGGCUUUCCAGCGUUUAAAAAAAAUGGAAUUGGAUGAAGGUGAAGAAAAGGAUGAGGAGGUGGUUAGCGAUGAGGAAAGAUCUGAGGAGCAGAAUACGUCCGAGCAAGAGUUACACGUCUUGUCAUUAAACUCGAUGGUGGGAAUCACAUCCAAGAAAACCAUGAAGAUGAAAGGGUUUAUUGGCAAGAGAGAAGUGAUCGUUCUCAUUGAUUCCGGCGCCACUUGUAACUUUAUAUCCAAACAACUGGUGGAAGAGUUGAGUCUUCCAGUGGAGGAGACUAUAGACUUUGGAGUGGCAGUGGGAAAUGGAGAAGUUAUUGCUGGAUCGGGAAAGUGUGAAGGAGUCGAAGUGAAGAUACAAGGAGUUAAGAUUAAGGAGGAAUUUUUAAGAUUUGAGCUGGGAACAAUAGACUUGGUGCUGGGAUACUCGUGGUUGGCUAAGCUGGGAGAGACACGCAUCAAUUGGGGGUUACACAUUUUGCGGUUUCAGUCAGAGGAGAAAUGGGUGUCAAUAUGCAGUGAUCCGGAGUUGCUAACUGCGCAAGUGUCUUUAAAUGCCAUGGAGAAGCUCUGUGAAAAGGAGGAUGUGGUUUACCUGCUGGAAUUACAGACAUUGUUCGAGAGUAAUGAUAAGAAGAUCGAGACUGUGCCGAGCAGAGCUGUGUCUGCACUGUUGAAGACCUUUGCGGGGGUGUUUCAAAUGCCAAAGGGACUACCUCCCAAGCGUACGAGAGAACAUGCGAUAACCUUACAAGAUGGAACAUCUCCUAUCAACGUGAGGCCUUAUCGAUACUCACAUACGCAGAAAAAUGAGAUUGAGAAGCUGGUAAAGGAGAUGAUGCAAGCAGGGAUUAUUCACCCGAGCAUUAGCCCAUUCUCGAGUCCAGUGUUGCUGGUAAAGAAGAAAGAUGGAGGGUUAAGGUUUUGUGUAGACUACAGGGCUGUAAACAAAAGCACCAUACCUGAUAGGUAUCCUAUACCCGUGAUCGAGGAGCUGUUGGAUGAGUUAGCAGGAGCUACCAUCAUCUCUAAGCUGGAUUUGAAGUCAGGAUACCAUCAGAUCAGAGUGCGAGCUGAGGAUGUUGGGAAGACUGCUUUCAAAACUCAUGAGGGUCACUACGAGUUCUUGGUUAUGCCUUUCGGGCUCACCAAUGCUUCGGCGACAUUCCAAUCAGUCAUGAACGAUAUUUUCAAGCCGUGGUUGAGGAAAUUUGUCUUGGUAUUCUUUGACGACAUUCUUGUUUACAGCAAGAAUGAAAAAGAGCAUAGAGAACACUUGAGGGUCGUGUUACAGUUGCUAAAAGACCACCAGUUCUAUGCCAUUGCAAAGAAAUGUGCUUUCGGUCAGUCAGAGAUAGCAUAUUUGGGUUAUAUCAUCUCAGGAAAAGGAGUAGCAGCAGACCCUGAGAAGAUAGAAGCGGUAAGACAGUGGCCACAACCCAAGAAUAUUACAUCACUGAGAGGGUUCCUGGGGUUAACGGGUUAUUACCAAAGGUUCGUAGAAGGAUAUGGAAAAAUAGCGCGGCCACUCACGGAUUUUCUGAAGACGAAAGGGUUCAAAUGGUCAGCACAGGCAAUUCAGGCGUUCUUAAUGCUCAAGACGGCCAUGACGCAGCUAGCAGUGUUAAUCUUACCAGACUUCAAGAGGCCAUUUGUGGUGGAGACAGAUGCCUCUGGUGUGGGUAUAGGGGCUGUGCUAUCGCAAGGUGGUCGGCCUAUUGCUUUUAUUAGCAAGGGAUUUUCAAGCACGGGCCGUGUGAAGUCAGUCUAUGAGCGAGAGUUGCUAGCCAUAGUGUUUGCAGUUACUAAGUGGAGACACUUUCUCACUGGUCACAAGUUCACCAUACGAACAUAUCAAAAGAGUCUAAAACAUCUACUGGAGCAGAGGGCGGUUUCUGUUGAGCAACAGAAGUGGGCUUCGAAGUUGUUGGGGCUCAAUUACACUAUUGAGUAUAAGCCCGGGAAGGAGAACAGAGCGGCUGAUGCUCUCUCACGUCUUCCUGGUAAGGAGGAGAUGCGAGAACUUCAAUUAACAGCGCCCCUGACGAUCGAUAAGGAGGAAUUAGCGCUACAGAUAGCUUAAGAUGAGGUUCUUCAGCAGAUUAUUCGGUUUGUGCAAGAAGUAGCAGAGGGAACAGAAGGUUAUAGUGUGAAAGAAGGGUUGCUCCUUAAGGAUAACAGGCUGGUGAUUCCGGCAAAGUCACCAUUUAUCCCAGCUCUCUUGAAGCAAUUUCACAACAGCAGUGUGGGAGGUCAUGAAGGAGUAUUGAAGACAUUUAAGCGAAUGUCUAGAGAAGUGUUGUGGAAAGGUAUGCGCGCAGAUAUCACGGAGUUCAUCAAGGCUUGUACAGUUUGUCAGCAGAAUAAGUAUUCAACACUGUCACCUGCGGGGUUGUUGUCUCCUUUGCCAAUUUCCCUACAGGUCUGGACUGAUAUUAGCCUUGAUUUCGUAGAAGGCCUCCCGUUCUCAAAGGGGUUCGAUGUGAUUCUGGUGGUAGUUGACAGGCUUACUAAGUAUGCCCAUUUCAUUCCUCUCAAGCACCCGUUCACCGCGAAGUCAGUUGCUGAAGUGUUUAUACGAGAGGUGAUUAAGUUACAUGGGUUCCCUGAGACAAUGGUAUCAGAUCGCGACAAAGUCUUCCUGAGUCAGUUCUGGUCUUCAUUGUUCAAGAAUCAGGGCACUGCUCUCCACAAGAGCACAGCUUAUCACCCACAAUCGGAUGGUCAGACGGAGGUAGUGAACCGAUGCUUAGAGGCCUACUUGAGAUGUUUUGCGGGUCGUAAGCCUUCGUCGUGGGUUCAGUGGCUACCGUGGGCAGAAUACUGGUAUAAUACUUCACAUCACUCUGCCACCAACACCACACCCUUCAAGGCGUUGUACGGGCGUGAUCCUCCGAAGUUACUUCGUUUUGGUGAUGUGCCUACUGCAAAUGCGGAGGUUGAAGAGAUGAUAAGAGGGCGUGAUGUGUUACUGCAAGAAUUGCGAGACAAUUUGGCUGUAGCUCAAGCAAGGAUGCAAGCAUCAGCCAACAAGAAGAGAAGAGAUGUGGAGUUUGAUGUGGGAACGUGGGUCUAUCUUAAGCUUCGUCCCUACCGACAGACGUCCGUAGCGUACCGAAGAGCAGAGAAGCUAGCGCCUUGUUUCUUUGGUCCUUAUAAGAUUGAAAAGCGGAUUGGGAAGGUGGCGUAUAAGUUAUUGCUACCGGCACACAGUCUGAUUCACCCUGUUUUUCACGUGUCGCAGUUGAAGCUUGCAGUAGAACCCACAACAAAUGUGCAGGAGCUCCCUUUGAUCAUAUCAUCAUCUUUUGAGUGGAAUGCUGAGCCGGAAGAGUUGGUCGAUAUUCGAAGAUCAGGAAAGGAGAUUGAGGUGUUGGUUAGGUGGUCGGGAUUACCAGAGUUUGAGAAUUCAUGGGAACCGUUGCAGCGUCUUAAGGACCAGUUUCCUCACUGUCAGCUUGAGGACAAACUGGGUCUUCUACGGGAGGGUAAUGAUAAGUUGGCAGUGCCUCUAGCGUUUGUGCAGAAGAGGAUGAGGUCGAAGAGAGAGCAGAGACGUGGCUAGGAAGUAAUGAAGAGGAAGAGGAGAGACUCCCUCUGAAAUAGAGGUUUAGAGUCAUAUGAAUAAAAGAAGACGAUGUCGUUUUAUAUUUACGUUUACUACUUAUGUUGAGAGCUUGUAAACAUUUGAUCUUAUCAUAAUUGAUCACAACAAAUAUCUUAUCCUCUUAUCUCUUUCUUCUAUACUUCUCCCCUUUCUUGUUACGAUCAGAUAACCCCUAACCUAAGGUUUAUCAUUGGUAUCAGAACCUGAUUAUGCCUCCUAAGCAAGAUCAGCAAGCUGAGAAGGUCUCAGCGAUGGAAAAUAUAUCUUUUAUGUUUUUUCGAAUGAAUUUUAAAUUUAUUCAUUAAAAACCCAUUUCUUGUUCAAAUGUUCUAAUACACACAGCAUCACCUUUCUUAAAAAAAUUGAAUCCAUUAAACCAAACCCAAACCAUUAAACCAGUGGUAUGCACUGACCGAAGUGAUCAAAUUAACUCGGGGGGAAAUGAAGAAAUAUGACGUAAACCGGGAAGGUUGAGAAAGCGGUUAAGGUGAAUAAAGGAGAGGUAGUGAGUUCACCGAGUCAUCACAAACCGACCGAAUCAAUUGCUUUACCCACGUGGCUCUUCUUGAUCAAAAUUAAAUUUAUCUUCAUUCUUCUUCUUCUGGCGAUUUCUAGGUUUGGGCUGCAAAAUCGAAUGGAGUGGGACAGCGAUUCCGAUCUCAGCGACGGAGAUGAGGUGGCUGAAGAUGGAUGGUUCGGCGGAGAUAGCGGGCCGGUUCCGUUUCCGGAGAUUAGUCUUCCUGGAACGACGCCGUGUGGGUUUGUAGUCAGCGACGCUCUAGAGCCAGACCAACCUAUCAUCUACGUCAACACCGUCUUCGAGAUUGUCACUGGGUACCGCGCCGAGGAAGUUAUUGGUAGAAACUGGUGAGCUUACUUACCCUUUUGUGCUGUUGAUAAGAUGUUGCUAGACAGAGCUUUGUGUUGAUGGAAAAAAUAGUAACUUUCGAUUCGUUAAUAUGGUUCUUGUUGGUAUGGAUACUAUAGAGGAUCUUGAAUGGUAUUCGUAGCUAGAAAAUUCGAAAUCAUGGAAUUGGAAGUUGGUUAUAGAGGAACAAAGCUAUAAAGUGGAGAGCUUUGUCUUUCUGAUUGUUGAACUGUGUUGUUAAUUUGGUCUUUGUUCUAUUGCUUGUGAGGGAUCAUUCCCUCAACUACUACUCUUAGCUGUUAAGUUGUUUGUUCCCUUCUGAUUUGUUUCUUCUUCUUUUGGCAGCCGGUUCUUGCAGUGUAGAGGUCCAUAUGCUAAAAGAAGGCAUCCCUCUGUAGAUUCCACUGUUGUGUCAAAGAUGCGACAAUGUCUAGAAAAAGGCAUCGAGUUUCAGGGCGAGUUGUUGAACUUCAGGAAAGAUGGGUCUCCUCUGAUGAACAAGCUGCGUCUUGUCCCCAUCCGUGAAGACGACGAGAUCACUCAUUUCAUAGGUGUUCUCUCCUUCACCGAUGCUGAUAUCGAUCUCAGCUCAUUUCCUGACUUGUCUGCAAAAGAAAUUCCAAGAAGAUCUCGUUCAUUUUCCUCUGCUUUACCAACCGGAGAGCGUAAUGUUUCUCGUGGACUAUGUGGGAUAUUCGAGCUGAGUGAUGAGGUAAUAGCUCUCAAGAUACUGUCUCAGUUGGCUCCGUCCGAUAUUGCAUCAGUGGGUUGUGUGUGCCGGCGGCUUAAUGAGGUUACAAAGAACGAUGAUGUGUGGAGAAUGGUUUGUCAAAACACGUGGGGGACCGAAGCUACACGUGUUCUCGAGAGUAUUCCCGGUGAAAAGAGGAUUGGAUGGGUGCGAUUGGCCCGAGAGUUUACCACACAUGAAGCAAAUGCGUGGAGGAAGUUUACGUUUGGUGGUACUGUUGAGCCUUCCCGGUGUAAUUUCAGCGCAUGUGCGGUUGGGAAUAAGAUUGUUAUCUUUGGUGGUGAAGGUGUGAACAUGCAACCGAUGAAUGAUACAUUUGUGUUGGAUCUUGGCUCCACUAGUCCCCAGUGGAAAUCAGUUCUGGUUAACUCUCCUCCUCCUGGUCGCUGGGGUCAUACUCUUUCUUGUGUCGACGGAUCCCAUUUAGUAGUCUUUGGAGGUUACGGGAGCCAUGGAUUACUCAACGAUGUCUUCUUAUUAGACCUUGAUGCAGACCCGCCUACAUGGAGAGAAGUAUCUGGUUUGGCCCCUCCAAUACCAAGAUCAUGGCAUAGCUCGUGCACACUCGAUGGAACUAAGUUGAUUGUAUCUGGUGGUUGUGCUGAUU
This 13304-nucleotide long non-coding RNA is filed under the name Brassica rapa (field mustard). RNAcentral describes it as "long non-coding RNA (BRAP_LNC004826)". Lineage: Eukaryota; Viridiplantae; Streptophyta; Magnoliopsida; Brassicales; Brassicaceae. The record is from RNAcentral.